Molecule: non-coding RNA, 926 nt
Filed under: Pristimantis sp. SBH-2008
Lineage: Eukaryota; Metazoa; Chordata; Amphibia; Anura; Strabomantidae
Description: 12S ribosomal RNA
Rfam family: Bacterial small subunit ribosomal RNA
Source: RNAcentral
CACACAGGCUUGGUCCCGACCUUACAAUCAGUUUCUACUUAACUUACACAUGCAAGUCUCCGCACACCCGUGAAAACGCCCUUCCACCCACCUAGGAGUAAGGAGCUGAUAUCAGGCUCUAAAUAGCCCAAAACAUCUAGCCACGCCACACCCACAAGGGCCUUCAGCAGUGAUUAACCUUAAGAAUAAACGUCAGUUUGACUUAGUUAAAUGAAAAUAGAGCCGGCCAAUCUGGUGCCAGCCGCCGCGGUUACACCACGAGGCUCAAAUUGAUUCUAUGCGGCGUAAAGCGUGAUUAAAGAAACAAACUACUGGGGUCAAACUUAAAUUAAGCCGUGAUAAGUCUAUUCUUAAGAAGCCCUAACUCAAAUGACACCCCAAUUAACCAACUUGAAUUCACGACAACUAGAGUACAAACUGGGAUUAGAUACCCCACUAUGCCUAGUCGUAAACUUUAACUUACACCCUCUAUCGCCUGGGAACUACGAGCAAAGCUUAAAACCCAAAGGACUUGACGGUGCCCCACAUCCUUCUAGAGGAGCCUGUCCUGUAACCGAUACCCCCCGUUUAACCUCACCACCCUUAGCCCGUCAGCUUGUAUACUUCCGUCGUCAGCUUACCGCAUGAGCGAGUUAAGUAAGCCCAAUGUCCCACAUCAAUACGUCAGGUCAAAGUGCAGCACAUGGGGUGGCAAGAGAUGGGCUACACUUUCUACCUUAGAAGACACGAAAGACUAUGUGAAACCAUACCAAGAAGGCGGAUUUAGCAGUAAGAGGGGACUAGAAUGCCCCUAUUAACCUGGCACUGGGGUGUGUACACACCGCCCGUCACCCUCUUCGACAAAUCAACUAGUUAUUAACUCAACACCCCACCAAAGAAGAGGCAAGUCGUAACAUGGUAAGUAUACCGGAAGGUGUGCUUGGAAA